RNAcentral lists this ribosomal RNA (429 nucleotides) under uncultured bacterium. RNAcentral's name for it is "bacterial SSU rRNA". It matches the Rfam family "Bacterial small subunit ribosomal RNA", at positions 29 to 507 of the family's 1533-position model. The record is from RNAcentral.
AACGAACGCUGGCGGCAUGCCUAACACAUGCAAGUCGAACGCUCGCAAGAGAGUGGCGGACGGGUGCGUAACACGUGGGAACCUGCCUUUGGGUACGGAACAACACCGGGAAACUGGUGCUAAUACCGUAUAAUGUCUACGGACCAAAGAUUUAUCGCCUGAAGAGGGGCCCGCGUUGGAUUAGCUUGUUGGUGAGGUAGAGGCUCACCAAGGCGAUGAUCCAUAGCUGGUCUGAGAGGAUGAUCAGCCACACUGGGACUGAGACACGGCCCAGACUCCUACGGGAGGCAGCAGUGGGGAAUAUUGGACAAUGGGCGAAAGCCUGAUCCAGCAAUGCCGCGUGAGUGAAGAAGGCCUUAGGGUUGUAAAGCUCUUUCGUCCACGACGAUAAUGACGGUAGUGGAAGAAGAAGCCCCGGCUAACUCCGUG